RNAcentral lists this ribosomal RNA (261 nucleotides) under uncultured bacterium. RNAcentral describes it as "partial 16S ribosomal RNA". It matches the Rfam family "Bacterial small subunit ribosomal RNA", at positions 92 to 354 of the family's 1533-position model. The record is from RNAcentral.
UUAGUGGCGGACGGGUGAGUAACGCGUGGGUAACCUGCCUUAUACAGGGGGAUAACACUUAGAAAUAGGUGCUAAUACCGCAUAAGCGCACGGGGCUGCAUGGCCCAGUGUGAAAAACUCCGGUGGUAUAAGAUGGACCCGCGUCUGAUUAGCUUGUUGGCGGGGUAACGCCCACCAAGGCGACGAUCAGUAGCCGGCCUGAGAGGGUGGACGGCCACAUUGGGACUGAGACACGGCCCAAACUCCUACGGAAGGCAGCAG